RNAcentral lists this non-coding RNA (27 nucleotides) under Mus musculus (house mouse). Lineage: Eukaryota; Metazoa; Chordata; Mammalia; Rodentia; Muridae. The record is from RNAcentral.
UAGUAAGCUCUUGAGGGCAAAUGAUGC